This 1083-nucleotide long non-coding RNA is filed under the name Felis catus (domestic cat). Its description in RNAcentral is "lncRNA (ENSFCAG00000053646.1)". The record is from RNAcentral. Lineage: Eukaryota; Metazoa; Chordata; Mammalia; Carnivora; Felidae.
AAAUUAUUAAGGCAUAGUCUUUGAACUGAAUCUCACAGUCUAAUGGGAGACACAGAUAAGUAAGCAAACAGGGAUAAUAGCAAGCAAAAGCAAAGUGGAGGUGACCCAGGCAAAAACUUCAAAUUCAGAUAGAACAUAGAUCCCAGAUUCUAUGAAUCAGUUUUCCUAUAUGAAAAAAUGGGACUAAAAAUACCUUCUUAGCAUGGUUGGGAAUCUGCAACUUUGGAAUUUGAAAGGAAAAGAAAAAGGUUUCUGUAAGGAUUAAAUAAGGUAUAUACCAAGGUUUUCAUCACAGAGUAAGUGCUGAACAACAGUGAUGCAUUCAAACAAUGAUACAUCUGAAGGUGGCAGUGUGUCUGAGGUACUAACUACACCACGUAGCAUUUCUGGGCUGCUUGGUGGCUGACCGUUAUUUCCUGACACGUCUCACACAAUGCUGACUUGAGUCAGCUCUGGGCAGUGUUAAUGUUCCCAGUAGACUGAACUCCUAAGAAUUGAAUUUAGAUCAGAGAAUAGAAAUCAUUUUAUUAAAGGGCAUAGAUUUUUUUUAUAUAGUCUUUCUGUAGUGUAGAGAAAACUCUAGAGCCUCCUUUCAUCUCCUUGGAACGAAGAAAGAUUGCAAAUCUCUCUUGUUGGACUGACGAUACCUGUAAAGAACUGACUAACCUGUCUGCCUCUGAAUUUGCUUGGCUUUGGACAUCUCUACUGCUCAAAGCAGAAACUGAGGCUCCUAGUGUCUGGGAACCAAAGCAGUGUGGCCCAGCAUGUGACACCAACCCCAGGACCUUGUACACCAAGGAAAUAGGGGAAGAAACCAGGUGCUGAGACAGAGGAUCAGAUCUGCUUCUCUGUGGCCUUAGGGUAGAGUUAACCCCUCAGGUCUACUCUGUAGGUUCCCAUUCAUUCCUCAUGCAUAGCAGCAGAAGGGACACUGACAAGCACAUCAGAGAGGGAAUUGCUUGAAAUAGAUUCUGGGCGGGAAGACCCAGUAUUUUUUUUCUGCAAAUUGUCCAGGUAAGACUGACUUAUGGGCUAAGCCUGUUUCCCUCGGCUUCUAUGACUCGGAGUCAUUUCAUUUCUCUC